This 170-nucleotide transfer RNA is filed under the name Alphaproteobacteria bacterium. Its description in RNAcentral is "tRNA-Phe". The record is from RNAcentral. Lineage: Bacteria; Pseudomonadati; Pseudomonadota; Alphaproteobacteria.
GUAGCUCAGUUGGUAGAGCAGAGGACUGAAAAUCCUCGUGUCGGUGUUAGUAGCAGUUCACAUAGUUAACCUAAUCGAUCUUUCGUAAAUAAUCAAGACCCCCCAUGUACUUUUUUUGUAUAAGGGUGGACAUAAGUCGAAAAAACACCGAUCAAACCUAAGCCUGACCA